Molecule: ribosomal RNA, 252 nt
Filed under: uncultured bacterium
Lineage: Bacteria
Description: partial 16S ribosomal RNA
Rfam family: Bacterial small subunit ribosomal RNA
Source: RNAcentral
UACGGGGGGGGCUAGCGUUGCUCGGAAUCACUGGGCGUAAAGGGUGCGUAGGCGGGUCUUUAAGUCAGGGGUGAAAUCCUGGAGCUCAACUCCGGAACUGCCUUUGAUACUGAAGAUCUUGAGUUCGGGAGAGGUGAGUGGAACUGCGAGUGUAGAGGUGAAAUUCGUAGAUAUUCGCAAGAACCCCAGUGGCGAAGGCGGCCCACUGGCCGAUACUGACGCUGAGGCACGAAAGCGUGGGGAGCAAACAGG